Molecule: ribosomal RNA, 253 nt
Filed under: uncultured bacterium
Lineage: Bacteria
Description: partial 16S ribosomal RNA
Rfam family: Bacterial small subunit ribosomal RNA
Source: RNAcentral
UACGGAGGGUGCGAGCGUUGUCCGGAAUCACUGGGCGUAAAGGGCGCGUAGGCGGCUCUUUAAGUCGGGGGUGAAAUCCUGGAGCUCAACUCCAGAACUGCCUUCGAUACUGUAGAGCUUGAGUUCGGGAGAGGUGAGUGGAACUGCGAGUGUAGAGGUGAAAUUCGUAGAUAUUCGGCGGAACACCAGUGGCGAAGGCGACUCACUGGCCCGAUACUGACGCUGAGGCGCGAAAGCGUGGGGAGCAAACAGG